GGGGAGUUAGUCCGUAGGGGGCAGCGGGGUAGACUGUAAAUCUACUGUCAUUGCGACUCGGGUGGUUCGACUCCAUCACUCCCCACCA
This 88-nucleotide transfer RNA is filed under the name Escherichia coli. RNAcentral describes it as "tRNA-Tyr". It matches the Rfam family "tRNA". Rfam says of the family: Transfer RNA (tRNA) molecules are approximately 80 nucleotides in length. Their secondary structure includes four short double-helical elements and three loops (D, anti-codon, and T loops). Further hydrogen bonds mediate the characteristic L-shaped molecular structure. tRNAs have two regions of fundamental functional importance: the anti-codon, which is responsible for specific mRNA codon recognition, and the 3' end, to which the tRNAs corresponding amino acid is attached (by aminoacyl-tRNA synthetases). tRNAs cope with the degeneracy of the genetic code in two manners: having more than one tRNA (with a specific anti-codon) for a particular amino acid; and 'wobble' base-pairing, i.e. permitting non-standard base-pairing at the 3rd anti-codon position. Lineage: Bacteria; Pseudomonadati; Pseudomonadota; Gammaproteobacteria; Enterobacterales; Enterobacteriaceae. The record is from RNAcentral.